This 442-nucleotide ribosomal RNA is filed under the name uncultured bacterium. RNAcentral describes it as "SSU rRNA". It matches the Rfam family "Bacterial small subunit ribosomal RNA", at positions 26 to 518 of the family's 1533-position model. The record is from RNAcentral.
AGAGCGAACGCUGGCGGCAUGCUUAACACAUGCAAGUCGCACGGGCAGCAAUGUCAGUGGCGGACGGGUGAGUAACGCGUAGGUAUCUAUCCACGGGUGGGGGAUAACGCCGGGAAACUGGUGCUAAUACCGCAUGACACCUGAGGGUCAAAGGCGCAAGUCGCCUGUGGAGGAGCCUUCGUCCGAUUAGCUAGUUGGUGGGGUAAAGGCCUACCAAGGCGACGAUCGGUAGCUGGUCUGAGAGGAUGAUCAGCCACAUUGGGACUGAGACACGGCCCAAACUCCUACGGGAGGCAGCAGUGGGGAAUAUUGGACAAUGGGCGAAAGCCUGAUCCAGCAAUGCCGCGUGGAUGAAGAAGGUUUUCGGAUUGUAAAGUCCUUUCGGCGGGGACGAUGAUGACGGUACCGCAGAGAGCCCGGCUAACUUCGCGCCAGCAGCCGC